AUACGUAGGGUGCGAGCGUUAAGCGGAAUUACUGGGCGUAAAGCGUGCGCAGGCGGUUUUGUAAGACAGGCGUGAAAUCCCCGGGCUCAACCUGGGAAUGGCGCUUGUGACUGCAAGGCUAGAGUGCGUCAGAGGGGGGUAGAAUUCCACGUGUAGCAGUGAAAUGCGUAGAGAUGUGGAGGAAUACCGAUGGCGAAGGCAGCCCCCUGGGACGAGACUGACGCUCAUGCACGAAAGCGUGGGGAGCAAACAGGAGUAGAAACCCUAGUAGUCC
This 274-nucleotide ribosomal RNA is filed under the name uncultured bacterium. RNAcentral describes it as "partial 16S ribosomal RNA". It matches the Rfam family "Bacterial small subunit ribosomal RNA", at positions 523 to 796 of the family's 1533-position model. The record is from RNAcentral.